UAUUAUCUGCUUAAACCUGAAACCUGGGAGUCAUCCCCAACCUCUCCCUCAUACUGCAUUUAUUAGUAAAUCAUGCUGAUUCUGCCUCCAAAGUUACACAAGCUUUCAGGACCACUUCUAGAAGCAGGCCAUAUGAUACUUCAUCCUGUAGACACCAUUUCAUUUCUUUGAUUUUUCUGGUGAAUGGACAGGGAAGUUUCUAUUUCUAAUUCUGUGCUUCCCCAAAUGAAAUUUUAUUCCAGGGUUCUCAUAUCAAUUUUCUCCAAGUGCAUUUCCCAAAUUUGCAAGGACCGUGGUUGCCAAUAGUCUUCAGAGACCCUGAGCAGACCUGGGAACCUGUAGAUGAAUUGCUUAGUCAUGUCUAUGGAUAUUUGAACCUUGCAAACUCCAUCCUCUUUCCUACUCUAGGAACCAAAUUCCUUCACCUGGAUUUAUGGUGAAAGAAUCCAAACAGUGAUUGUCCAGCUUCAGGGGGCUCAGAAAAAUGUUUAUUACUUGCUAUGAAUUUUUCCCACCUAUUUAAUCUCACAAAUCUUUGUCACGAGUUUCUAGUAUUUUCUCCAUACCUUCCUAGACUAAUAAAUACCACUUUUAAAAAAGAAAAACAAAGCAACCACCCUUAUAUUGGUACUUGGCAGAGAAGGGUUGAAGUCGAGGAAAGGAGAACAUGCAGGGCAGAAAAAUUUCGAUAAGCAUCACAUGAAGCUUCCUGGCAGGGAAGUCUAUUUGCUGUGGAAUUGGAAAAUGUUGGAAGUGCUAUCCCUAGAGACAGUGGUUGAGGUCUAUGGAUGAAAAACAAGAUGUAAAUAGUAUUCAAAACAGACCCACUUAGAUAGCCAUUAAUCCAUUUGCUUCACAGGAUCUCUUUAUCUCAGAAGUGUAAACAUUCAUAAAGUCAAAAAAUUGAUCUUAGUACUUAGAACUCAGGUUUCCCACCUUACAAAGAGUAUUUAUGACACACAAAAAAUCACUUUUGUAAUAAAACUUCUAUCCAGAGCCACAGGGUUUUAGAAUGUUAGAACUAGAAGGAUCUUCCUUAGAGUGUCUAGCCUACCCAGUCAUUUUCUAGAUGGGUAAACUGAGGCCUAAAAAAUGGAAGGAACUUGCUCAGUGGAAGACGGACAACUGGCAGACCUAAACCCAGGGCCUCGCACAGCAAUCCCUUUUUCUCUACAUCCUGGCCACAUGGGCUCAUAUUUGUACAAUUAAUGAGACCAUUUGCUAUUUGUUACAUUUAUAGAAAUUUAAACUAUUGUGAAAAACAAACAAUAAAACAGGAAAGGGACCACAGUCUCUGCAAACGCUUUCUUCAUUAGACUUCAACUAAUAGCCCCCUUUUCCUUUUAUUCUAAGGCCUUAUUGACAGUUGAUUGCUGAACAGUUUUUUUAACCCAAUCUUAUUUUGCUUUAUUUCAUCCUUGAUUGCAUUCAGCUUUUCUCUCCAGCAGCCACUUCUUAACUACUACCAUUUUGUAAGCUUCCCUGCUGCUCUAAGGCUGUCAUUGCAACUGAUUAAUUUCAUUAGCACAAUGAUGCACUUAAGCAGGACUAACCCAUCUCUUUUGUGAUCUGGAGUCACAGACAGAGUAUUUGCAGGAGGAGGUAGCUGUUUAGAUGCCAGAUGAGAAGAGAAAAAUAUAAGGACCUUUGCUUGUAUUUCUUUAAGUAAAAUGUUCACUACCUCCCAGGUCCUUGAGGAACUCAGCUAAGGUGUUCAUCUACAAAAUCAGAAUCUUAUUGUUUUGCAAGUGCUUUGUUUAUCCUGGUAGUUGGGAACAUGACUUUCAGUCUAUCAUUUGUCAAGUGAAGAGGAGACAGAAGGGCACUAACAUUUAUUUAAUAUCUACUAAGUGCCAGAUGCUAUGUUAGUAGGCCUUUUAUCAUCAAAUUAAGUGCCAGCUUCACAAUGAUAAAUCCUUUGCUACUCAGGAAAGCGUUUUAACUAGGACGUACAAUUCCCUGAGAUCAUGUCACUGUUUCAAUCCCCAGCUUCUACCCAUGCAAGUUAACAAACCAUACUAAAAGAUGAGAAAGGGAAAUGAGAUAAAAACUCAAGGUUUAGAAGUAAGAGCACUACCACAGAACCCCUCCCCCACCAAGUAAAGUGAACAUCAAAUGCAGGCAAGUUUAUUACUACUUUCUGAAAAGUUUGCAGACUUCUCAGAAAUAUGGCAUAGCAGAAAGCACUCUGGGCUUAAAGACCAGUGUUCUAGUCACAACUCAACUGCUGACCAGACUAGCAAUGUUGGUAGGGCUUGUCCUCCCUCUGGGGCUCAGUUUCCCCAUUUGAAAAGGCUGUGCCUUUCAGAGUUCUUUUAGGAGUCAAAUGGCAGAGGUUGUGGAGUUACGUUUUGGAGAAAGACUGUGAAGCUAACUCUACUCUGAGCUUCCUACCCUUGCUUUAAUCAAGACAUCAUUUUUUGUAUAUCUUUUAGAUAGUGGAGUUCCAAGAAAUAUUUCAUGUUAACAAGGCUAGAAAAGUUUGAAAAUCAUUUGAUUAAAGGAUGUCUACAGUUCUUUUCAGUUCUGUGUCCUGUGGUUCUGUGAUUUUUGAAAAUCCAGCUGUUGAUUGUCCAGUCCUUGGGGCUACAAGAGGGAGCUAAGAUUCUAGAAUAUGUGCUUUCACUUUUAACUCCAUUUGUUUUCAUUCUUCUGCUCUUGAAGACCCAUUUUAAAUAUACUUGCCUUGCUGCUAUUUAUUUCAUAAAAGCACAUCCUAAACCAUUAUUGUUUGAUUAUUUCUUUCUAUAGAGAAAACAACACCUUUGUUUCUCCUAAAGAGUAAUUACAUGGCUUAGGGAAAGCUAUAUUUUUAAAUUAGAGAUGGGGAAAAAAAUCCAACCACUGCUGAAAUUGUUUGGAGAGAGACAAUAACCUUUCUAGACCGUAAGCCCUGGGUGAGAGGAGGGACUCUGAUAUAUGGACUAACCAACAGAGUGCCAAAUUCAAGAUCUCCUUGACUCAUUCAUUCCUAUAUGAAUCCCAAGUAUCCAUAUGGUAUUUCCUUCAUAUUUUAUUGUAGGACAAGCCAGAACAGACAGAGAUUUGUUUGGUAUUAAUAGCAUCAGCCAAACUUGAUCAGAAGAAUAUGGGUGUGGAGUGUAUGCUUGCUCAAAAACCUCCGGGUUUUUCUAGCCAGUCCAGAGUCGGGGUGCUCCAGGGUUCUAGGGCUAGGUAGGCCAUCAUUCGCACAAGUCCUAAACUGCUCCUCUCUUAGCUGAGAGAAUCAGUUAGCAGUUCUGGUGCUUUUCCAUCAAGCCUGAGUGCAAAAUUAUUUUAAGACAAUCUUUUUUGAAAGUCUGGGUUUUGGUGCCUUUUUUCCACUGUCCUAAAGCUAUAUAUAAAUUCUUCCCUCUUCCUAGGACUAUCUAGUGGAUUUUGGUGCUCUAGAAACAGAUUAGAUUUUCUUAAAAUAACUUAAGCAAAAAUAUUUCAAUGGAAUUCCCCAAGCUAUCAACUUAAUUUUAAUGUAUUUGUUAUUUAAUCUAUUUUAAGAAACAUUAGUCUUCCUUAUUAUAAAUAGCACCAAAACACCAACAUUAAUUGAAACCUUGAGAAAAGAAGAAAAUAUUACUUAUCCAUUCCCUUUCUCUGACCCACUUUUCAUUUCGUGCCUUGUCUUGCAGUCAGUGUACACAAAUAUUUUUAUGAUUGCUUUAACUAGAGUAUAGAUAUAGUUUCUAAAAUUCUGCUCUAUUCACUCUCCCCUCAUGAGACUCCCGUUGUGUGUAUGUUAGCAUGCUUGAUUAUAUUCUACAGGUCGCUGAUGCCUUGGUCACUGUUCUUCCUUUUGCAAGUCAAGAAGAGAGCCCUCACCAAAAUACAACCCUGACAGACCUUGAUCUGAGAAUUCUAGCCUCCAAAACCAUGAGAAAUACAUUUCUGUUAUUUGAGCUACCCAAUCCAUAGUAGUUUGUUCUGGCAACCUGAGCUCCCUAGCCUUUGAUAGUUUCCCCACAAAUAUGCAUUUAGUACUUUGCUGAAUCCUUGAGGGUGACCCUCUGCCGAUCUCCAGGUUUCGCUCACUGUAUCGCUUUCUCUUCUCUGGCAUUUCUGAUCUGAGAAUGCUAGCUGCCUUGGGCUUCCUGGACUCUCCUUUCUGUUUCCUCAACUCAAGUUUACUAGGCUCUGCCUGAGUUUCCUUUUCUGUCCUAUGGCCUGGAAACUCUCAAGACAGUAAGCUGGGCCUGUUGUGGAGCUUGUCUUGUUUAUUUCUGAUCUCUCACUGUCCUUCAUUGUCUGAUGUUUCCAGUCUUUCAAAUACCAUUUUCAAAAAAUAUAUUUUCCUGGUUUUUAUUGUGUUUUGUUUUUGGUGGUUUCAUGUGGUGAGGUAAAUCUAGUCCUUGUUACUCCAUCUUGACUGAAAGAAGAAGUCUUAUUUUUUUGAAGUUUUGAUUAAUUAAUAUUUGAAUAUCAUGCCCAUUUAUUUGAUCUUAUUGCCAAAUGAUAGAGAGGAAAUUACCCCACAUUUGUGGGGCAAAGUUUUCAAACUCAAGUUUUUCUACUUCUUUCUAGGUAGUCUAUAAAUUACUUAUUAACUCUUCCCUACGCAUGCGAAAAUUUUCCAUACAUCUCCAUGUCUUUGCAUGAACUGUCCUCUGGAAUUACCUUCACACUCUUAUCUUUACUGGAAACCUUAUUUUUCAGGCCACCACUCACAGAGGGUAAAGCCAUACUUCAGGCAUGUCUACAGGAAGAGUCCUUGUGGUUAUUGUUAUCAUUAUUAUUGUUACUAGAAAUGGCUAUAGCUACCACUUUUUAAGCAUUUAUUAUAUGCCAACAUCUAAUCCUCAUUACUGCACUCUAAAGUAAGCCUUGACAUGGUCCUUUUUUAAAAAAAAUCUAUAGCGGAAUUUAAGACUAAGAGAAGAUGUAUAACUUGCCCAAGGUCAAACAGCUAAAAAUAGUUGAACUAGAAUUCAAACCCAGGUUGGUCUGCUUCUUCACCAUAUGACUAACACUGAUCUCCUCUCUAAUGUGAUGGCAUAUUUCCAUACUUGUCUUUACCACUGUAAAGGAGCCUGUGUGCUCCUUGAAGGCAGGAGCCAUAUCUCACUUAUUUCUGUACUUUGAGCACAGAGCAUAAUUGUAGUACAUGGUAGGCACCCAUUAUAUAUGUUGACUGACUAACUAAACGAAUGAAUGUUUGCACCAGACAAAGGCUUGGUUUGAGGCAGAUGUAAGCACUGUACUGAGGCACAUGACAGAGGACCAGGCCAUGUGGCAGAACACCAAAGAAGUCUAGUCAGGAAGUGUUUCAUCCAAGAUAAAUAAAUUGUGAAAUCCAACACAGAUCACAAAACUUGCUUUAGGAGUAGACGUGCACUCAGAAUUUUACCUCAGUACUUCAGAGGUGAAGGUGGAAGAUAAAUUUCAUAUUUCAGAUCUGUCAGAGGGUUUAUAUGAUUUAAGAGAUAUAUGACCUUAAAGCUAAUCCUUAUCCUUUUGGCCUAAAAUUUCAAGUGAAGCUAAAUUUGAAAUGCCUUAAUAUAAUUCAGUGGAGGCCAGAAACCCUGAAAAACAUUCUGUUUCUUAUGACCUAAAUGUUGAAGGUAUUAUCCUUCUACCAUUGAGUUUUGGGAUAAAUUCCAUGUCUAUGAAAGCAUAGGAUUAAGAGACCGGGGACAGCACAAAUGGAUUGGCCUUCAUAAGCAGAAGGGUAUAUUUGGCCUCGAGUCAUGUGAUUGCUACAAGUUGGAAAUACCUUGGGUACUUUACAUGUUGCUUAUAGUGAACUGUGCCUGUAUCUCUGGGUGCAGAGAUUUAAGAGACUAAGGGUAGACUGGGUCAGUGAAGAAGGUAGACAUGAGAGGAUUCGGCUAUCCUGUACUGUCCAAAUCUGGCAGCACAAUAUGUCCAUUGACCUUGCAUUCUACCAAACUUUCUUUUGUGAUACUCUGGGAAUCACAAUAUAUUUCACAGGGUCAUAGCAUGUCAGAGCUGGAAAGGGCCUUAGAAGCUAUCUGGGAGUUCCCUUCCUGGCUCAGUGGUUAACAAACCCAACUAGUAACCAUGAGGUUGUAGGUUCGAUCCCAGGCCUCGCUCAGUGGGUUAAGGGUCUGGCAUUGCCGUGAGCUGUGGUGUAGGUCACAGAUGCAGCUCGGGUAUGGUGUUGCUGUGGCUGUGGCGUAGGCCGGUAACUGCAGCUCCAAUUCAACCCCUAGCCCAGGAACCUCUGUAUGCUGCUGGUGCGGCC
This 6196-nucleotide long non-coding RNA is filed under the name Sus scrofa (pig). Its description in RNAcentral is "lncRNA (ENSSSCG00000061850.1)". The record is from RNAcentral. Lineage: Eukaryota; Metazoa; Chordata; Mammalia; Artiodactyla; Suidae.